AGGAUGACAGCGAAAAACUUCAUAAAGAGACGAUUCAUUCAGGUUAUCCAAAUUUAUCCCACAGUCUUUUCCAAUCAAAUACAGAAACAUUUUUAUUUACUAGUUAAUGCACGAACAAUUAGAAGACGAGCUGUUGAGGCCGAGUUGUUCUGUUGACGUUCAGCCAGAAAGUUCUACUUCAGCAAAAAAUUGAAAGGCCAAACUCAUAUUUGCGAAAACUCAUCUCGAUUGAAGCAUUCAGAAAUUGAAUACCAUUUUAUUCUCAGACGAAUCGAAAUAUAAUAUUAAAGUUUCGGACGGCAUAAGAUGUGUGAGAAGGCCGAAAGAACAAGGACUCAAACCUAAGUAUUAUGUUGCGACCAUUUAAUAUGGCGGUGGUAAUGUUAUGGUCUGGAGCUCUUUCUCUGGGCACGGGUCUGGACCUAUUCAUUUAAUAAAUGGAAUAAGAAACCGGCUAGUUUACAACGACAUUUUAAACGGGAUGUUACCGUAUGCUGAAAAGGAUAUGUCACUAUAAUGGUAGUUCCAGCAGGACAAUGAUCCUAAGCAUAACUCUAGGCAUUGCAAAACUUGGUUGUGAAGUUACAGAGUUGAUGUUUUAGAUUUGCCUCGAUGUCAAAUCCAACGAAAACUUUUGGGAGAUCGUUAGUUCCAAAAUAAAUAGCGAAAACUGUAAAACCAAGGGUCAACCUUUAGAACCUGAAACAAUUGCUUGGAAUGGCAUACCACAUGAUAUAUAGUAAAUAAUUUAAUUUCUUCUACGCCUAAAAUGUGCUUUUCAGUUAUCCAAAAUAAAGGAUUUGCUACUUUUUUUUUAAUUUUCAGAUAUUAUUUUCAAACCGUUGAAAAGGGUGCUUUAGUUUUGUCCAGUUAAUUUUUAAACCAUAAAUGUUUUUGUUGUUUUAACUUAUUUAAUUUUGAAAACUGAAAAUGAAAAGCUUUAUUUUAAUAAAAAUUAAUAAACAACCCAUUGAAAAAUGUCAAAAUUUUACAUUUAUUUAUUUUUAUUGCCUGAAAACAGCUAAGUUCGAGCUGAACCAUAGUAGGGGGUGCUUUAGUUUUGUCCAAUACUGUAUAAACACAUUCUAUUAAAGACAUUCUUUAAUGUUCAAAUUGGUUGAAUAUAUACAUAAAUAUAUACAUACAUACAUUAGUAAUUGUUAGUUGUUAAAACUUGAAGCUUAAUAAAUCAUGGCAAAACACAAUAAAAAUUUGAAUAGUAAAAUACAAAUUUUUGAAACCAUUUUAUUCGGAAAAAGUGUUUUCGACUUUUAGCUGGCUCUUAAAAGAAGCAAUGUAAAUUUAAAAAAUUUUAUUUUAAUGGCUGAGAUGAACAAUUUUAUGAGGCGUCGUUUCGAGGAAAUUUUCAAAAAAAAAAAUUGUUUUAAAAUUGGAGCUGCAUUGUUAAUUUAUUUUAUUUCGUAAACUUCAUCUACGAUAUACAUACUUGAUAAGGUGUGCGAAAUCCGGGACAUCCAAUACAAAUGAAAGCAAUUUGUUAAAUUUUUUCAAAAUUACAAAAUAUAGAGCUUCAUCAACGAGAAAAAGGUUUCUAGUGACUCCAAAUAAAAUAUUUAAUCAUUAAAAGACAAUGUAAUUUUCAAGCGAAUAUAAUACAAUUAUGAUAUAUUGGUAACAAUAAAGAAAUAUGAGCAACAACAAAAAAGUGCAAACAAAAUGAAAUGAUAAUUUUGUUCAAAAUAUAUUUUAUACGUAUUUUUUAUUUUAUUAAAGCUUAUUAAAACAGUUGCAUUCCAGUGGAGUGUGUGCAAAAGACAAAAAGAAAAGCAAAAAAUUGUGCAUGAUUCUCGAAUUGCCACUUCGCAAGUCUAGAGAUUUUUCGAGUGCUACAUGUUUCAAAAGUAGAUUGAAGGUUGUUUAAUUAUUAUCGAAAAACAUUUUCCCAAUAUUUAAA
Molecule: long non-coding RNA, 1915 nt
Organism: Bactrocera neohumeralis
Lineage: Eukaryota; Metazoa; Arthropoda; Insecta; Diptera; Tephritidae
Exons: 2
Source: RefSeq, a predicted model, not a curated record